Molecule: ribosomal RNA, 253 nt
Filed under: uncultured bacterium
Lineage: Bacteria
Description: partial 16S ribosomal RNA
Rfam family: Bacterial small subunit ribosomal RNA
Source: RNAcentral
UACGGAGGGUGCAAGCGUUAUCCGGAUUCACUGGGUUUAAAGGGUGCGUAGGUGGGCAAGUAAGUCAGUGGUGAAAUCUCCGGGCUUAACCCGGAAACUGCCAUUGAUACUAUUUGUCUUGAAUACUGUGGAGGUCAGCGGAAUAUGUCAUGUAGCGGUGAAAUGCUUAGAUAUGACAUAGAACACCAAUUGCGAAGGCAGCUGGCUACACAAAUAUUGACACUGAGGCACGAAAGCGUGGGGAGCGAACAGG